This is a small nucleolar RNA of Lepus europaeus (European hare), 133 nucleotides long. Lineage: Eukaryota; Metazoa; Chordata; Mammalia; Lagomorpha; Leporidae. The record is from RefSeq and is a predicted model, not a curated record.
GUGCAAACUCGAUCACUGGCUCUGCAUGAUGUGGCAGAAGCAAAGGGAACCAGGUUUGCUAAAGUAACUGUGGUGAUAGAAAUGUUUUCACCUCAGAAGCUGCUGAGGUGGCCCAUUCUAUCCCAGUACAGUG